Small nuclear RNA from Ochotona princeps (American pika), 147 nucleotides. RefSeq annotates it as U4 spliceosomal RNA. The record is from RefSeq and is a predicted model, not a curated record. Lineage: Eukaryota; Metazoa; Chordata; Mammalia; Lagomorpha; Ochotonidae. The transcript has a single exon.
AACUUUGUGCAUUGUCAGUAUUGUAGCCAGUGAGGUUUAUUUGAGGUACGGUUAUUGUUAAUUGAAAACUAAAAUUUUGUCUUCCACUGACUUUAGCUUUUUAAAAUAUUAUUUGCAUGGUUGACAGGCAUGCACACCCAUGUGUGC